CCCUUUCCAACUUACUUGCCGGCCGUGUGCUGUGGCCUCUGUGUCCUUUGGAAAUGGCAAAAGGAAGCGUCUUCCGUUUUGCCAAGCGUUACUAGAGAUUAAUGUAAAAGGAACAUCCCGAGAGGGCCGUUAAACUCCCCCCCCCCCCCUUUUUCACUUUCCAGACACUAUGCCCUGGGUCUGUCCACCAUCCAGAAGAACCAUGUUUCUCCAUUCAGGUUACUGCUCAGAGUCGGAGCAAGAUAUUCAUCCUAAAGGGGUACAGGUCAGGCCUACAGUAUGAGGGAAGCAAAUUGAAGCAGACAUCCACGGAACUCUCCAGAGCUUCAUCCACGAGGACGCUCCACCUGCGUGGGCAUGUUCUACCCAGAGGGCACAGAUGUCACCCUGGUUCACAACUGUCUCUCCUGCUAUUCCUGGGCUGCCUGUGGUCCAUAAAAGAACAGGCACAACAGAUUCUAAAAGCAUGUGGGCUACGUUCAUGCAUCACUCAGACCUUCCAGUGUUCUUCAGACAACGAUCAGACUUACCUUGUCAACGCUGGACCAGACCCAUACCGGUUAGGCCAACAUCACUCUGCUGCACCACCACAAACAGCGUGGUGAUUAAUGGUAUGUGUACUGCAAUCACAAUACAGAAACUCCAUCCAUCCAUCCAUCCAUCCAUCCAUCCAUCCAUCCAUCUAUCCAUCGAUCCAUCCAUCCAUUUUCCAAACCGCUUAUCCUACUGGGUCGUGAGGGUCCAUAUUACCUGCCUAUCCCGGAAGCAAUGGGCAUGAGGCAGGGAACAACCCAGGAUGGGGGGCCAGCCCAUCGCAGGGCACACUCAUACACCAUUCACUCACACAUGCAUUCGUACGGGCAAUUUAGCAACUCCAAUUAGCCUCAGCAUGUUUUUGGACUGUGGGGGGAAACCUGAGUACCCGGAGGAAACCCCACGACGACAUGGGGAGAACAUGCAAACUCGGCACACAUGUGACCCAGGCGGAGACUUGAACCCGGGUCCCAGAGGUAUGUGGCCCCAUACAGAAACUCACAUCCAGAAAACUGUAGGUUUGAUUUUGUUCACUUACAGUCAUUAAAUAUGUUCAUACCGGCCAUUUUAUAUUCCCAUGAUGCACCGCUGAAUGGUGCCACCCUGUUAGUGAACAGAAUCUUAGCUUAAAUUAUUCACCGGGCACGAAGGGUGAUUGGGCGUACACAAGAUGUAAAGUGGAAUCAUUUAUCAGGACAGACAGGUCAAACGAGAAGGGUGCCGUUCAUAAAAAACGUUGACAGAGUUGUUUGAAAACUGACGCGAUAAGACAGACGUGCUUCGAUCAAAAGUAGCAUGUCUAGAUAACUGCCCGACUGCAGCAUGGCAGAACAACUGCCAGUAAGCGAAAUAACUGCAAAGUCAUACAGCGUAUGCAAAAAGACAAGCAAAGAAAAGCUCUGUUGGCUGAUUUAACCCUGGG
Brienomyrus brachyistius is the source of this 1456-nucleotide long non-coding RNA. RefSeq lists it as uncharacterized. The record is from RefSeq and is a predicted model, not a curated record. Lineage: Eukaryota; Metazoa; Chordata; Actinopteri; Osteoglossiformes; Mormyridae. The transcript is spliced from 3 exons.